CUGGUUGAUCCUGCCAGUAGUCAUAUGCUUGUCUCAAAGAUUAAGCCAUGCAUGUCUCAGUAUAACCUUUUCCAUGGGAAAACUGCGAAUGGCUCAUUAAAACAGUUAUAGUCCACUUGAUGUUGGCUGUUAUACGGAUAACUGUGCUAAUUGUAGAGCUAAUACGUGCGUACAAACCCGACUUCUCGGAAGGGUUGUAUUUAUUAGAUACAGAACCAAACGGGGCAACCCGGCAUUGGAUGAUUCACAGUAAAUGAAUGGAGCGUAUGACUUGUGUCGGCGCUGUAUCAUUCGAGUUUCUGACCUAUCAGGUUUCGAUGGUGGGGUAUUGGCCCACCAUGCCAUUGACGGGUAACGGAGAAUUAGGGUUCGAUUCCGGAGAGGGAGCCCGAGAAACGGCUACCACAUCUAAGGAUGGCAGCAGGCGCGCAAAUUACCCAAUGAGGACACCUUGAGGUAGUGACAAGAAAUAACGGCACAUGCCUUAUUGGUCUUUGUGUCUGGAAUGGGAUAGAUUUAAAUCCCCUUUCGAAUUCAAUUGGAGGGCAAGUCUGG
This 555-nucleotide ribosomal RNA is filed under the name uncultured eukaryote. Its description in RNAcentral is "SSU rRNA". It matches the Rfam family "Eukaryotic small subunit ribosomal RNA", at positions 4 to 564 of the family's 1831-position model. The record is from RNAcentral.